Molecule: unclassified non-coding RNA, 604 nt
Filed under: uncultured fungus
Lineage: Eukaryota; Fungi
Description: sequence contains ITS1, 5.8S rRNA gene, ITS2
Rfam family: 5.8S ribosomal RNA (bases 218-372)
Source: RNAcentral
ACUGCGGAGGAUCAUUACUGAACUGUCAACACGAGUUGUUGCUGGUCCUCAAACGGGGACAUGUGCACGCUCUGUUUACAUACCCACUCACACCUGUGCACCCUCUGUAGUUCCGUGGUGCGGGGGGCUCUGUCCUCCUGCCGUGGUUCUAUGUCUUUACAUACACACAGUGAUAAAGUCUUAUGGAAUGUAUGUCGCGUUUAACGCAAUACAAUACAACUUUCAGCAACGGAUCUCUUGGCUCUCGCAUCGAUGAAGAACGCAGCGAAAUGCGAUAAGUAAUGUGAAUUGCAGAAUUCAGUGAAUCAUCGAAUCUUUGAACGCACCUUGCGCCCUUUGGCUAUUCCGAAGGGCAUGCCUGUUUGAGUAUCAUGAACACCUCAACUCUCAUGGUUUGCCAUGAUGAGCUUGGACUUUGGGGGUCUUGCUGGCUUAUGGUCGGCUCCUCUCAAACAAAUCAGCUUGCCAGUGUUUGGUGGGAUCAUGGGUGUGAUAACUAUCUACGCUUGUGUAUUUCCGUCAAGUAACCUUCAGCAAUGGAGGUUCGCUGGGGCUCAUAAAUGUCUCUCCUCAGCGAGGACAGCUCUUUUGAAUGUUUGAUCUC